AGGCAGAAUACUUGGAUAUGCCAUUAAAAUUGUCUUUACUUUUCACUUAAACACUCCAUUUUAAGUUCGUUCCAUUUGAACGCUCCAAUCACAGCUUACAUGUUUCAUUUAGACAUAAUAUGCUGACAAGGCAAUCUAAGAAUUUCUCACAUUUUUCAAGCGCGUGAAAUCAUCCAAAAAAAAAUAAUCUCCACAUACUUCUUGUCGGAAAAUGUAUAGCUUAUGCCGAAAAUUUUCCGAUCAUCUUGUUAACCAAAAUUGUUUUUAGAUUUCUUCAUACCAUUACUACUGUAUCCUCUUUUAGAUCUAAGCACCCCCCUACCACCUUUAAAUCUGGCCACCAUCACAAACUUUUCAAAUUCCUUCUCAUUUUUAGAUUUGAUUGAUGCUGCAAUUCUGGACGGAAAAGUAGAAGCGCCGCUAGCUGCCUACCUCGUCUUUUUUAUUUAUCUUCCACCAUGUGAGCAACCAUUGGAUGGCACGAACAAGAACAGUGGCAAAAGCCCUCUCAUUUCCACUCAUCCGGCGAAACUUCAUUUUUUCGACGAAGUUUCUCUUUUUUCUCAACAAUUAAUUUUGCAACUUGAAUCUUACUCUUAACCAGAUCCAGCUAGAUUCGAGCAGAUCUGACUGAAAAUAACAAGUUUUGGAGACCCUUAUGCAUAGGUGUUGUCUUCUCCUCGUUUUUUCUUUUAGUUUUUGUCUAUAGAUUAUAUAUCUAGAAAUAUAUGGUGAAACUCCACCAUUACUUAAUCCGAUCAAAAUUUUGUUUUUCGACGACUUUAUGGUUUAGUCGAAUUUUUGGGUCUUUUCGGCAACCUUCAAGCUUAUUUUUAUUGGUUAUUAUUAUCAAGCUCCAUUUUUUGUUCAUUACAUUGGAUAUAAAUUGUUUGUUUAUUAGCGUCUCCCUUUACUUGCUGCUCUUG
Molecule: long non-coding RNA, 926 nt
Filed under: Nicotiana benthamiana
Lineage: Eukaryota; Viridiplantae; Streptophyta; Magnoliopsida; Solanales; Solanaceae
Description: long non-coding RNA (NBEN_LNC017299)
Source: RNAcentral